Molecule: ribosomal RNA, 406 nt
Filed under: uncultured bacterium
Lineage: Bacteria
Description: partial 16S ribosomal RNA
Rfam family: Bacterial small subunit ribosomal RNA
Source: RNAcentral
AAUAUUGCGCAAUGGACGGAAGUCUGACGCAGCGACGCCGCGUGAGCGAUGAAGGNCUNNGGAUCNUNAAGCUCUGUCCUUGGNNNNNAAGGGCUUCGGCCUUGACGGUACCCAAGAAGAAAGCCCCGGCUAACUACGUGCCAGCAGCCGCGGUAAUACGUAGGGGGCGAGCGUUGUCCGGAAUUACUGGGCGUAAAGGGUGCGUAGGCGGCCCUUUAAGUCAGAUGUGAAAGGCCACGGCUUAACCGUGGAACUGCAUUUGAAACUGGAGGGCUUGAGUAUCGGAGAGGGUAGUGGAAUUCCCAGUGUAGCGGUGGAAUGCGUAGAUAUUGGGAGGAACACCAGUGGCGAAGGCGACUACCUGGACGAAAACUGACGCUGAGGCACGAAAGCUAGGGGAGCAAAC